This 393-nucleotide ribosomal RNA is filed under the name uncultured bacterium. Its description in RNAcentral is "bacterial SSU rRNA". It matches the Rfam family "Bacterial small subunit ribosomal RNA", at positions 28 to 414 of the family's 1533-position model. The record is from RNAcentral.
GACGAACGCUGGCGGCGUGCCUAACACAUGCAAGUGGAGCGACGAACCAGGCUUCGGCCUGGGGCAGAGCCGCGAACGGGUGAGUAACACGUGGGUAACCUGCCCUGAUGAUCGGGACAACCCGGGGAAACCCGGGCUAAUACCGAAUGUGCCCGCGAGCCGCAAGGCUUGCGAGGAAAGGAAGCUUCGGCCUCCGCAUCGGGAUGGGCCCGCGGCCCAUUAGCUUGUUGGUGGGGUAACGGCCUACCAAGGCAGCAAUGGGUAGCUGGUCUGAGAGGACGAUCAGCCACACUGGGACUGAGACACGGCCCAGACUCCUACGGGAGGGCAGCAGUGGGGAAUCUUGCGCAAUGCGCGAAAGCGUGACGCAGCAACGCCGCGUGGGGAAGACGG